GGGGCGGUAGUUCAGCGGCGAGAAUUCCGGUCUCCAAAACCGGCGACGCGGGUUCGAGUCCCGCCCGCCGCC
Molecule: transfer RNA, 72 nt
Filed under: Thermodesulfitimonas autotrophica
Lineage: Bacteria; Bacillati; Bacillota; Clostridia; Thermoanaerobacterales; Thermoanaerobacteraceae
Rfam family: tRNA
About the family: Transfer RNA (tRNA) molecules are approximately 80 nucleotides in length. Their secondary structure includes four short double-helical elements and three loops (D, anti-codon, and T loops). Further hydrogen bonds mediate the characteristic L-shaped molecular structure. tRNAs have two regions of fundamental functional importance: the anti-codon, which is responsible for specific mRNA codon recognition, and the 3' end, to which the tRNAs corresponding amino acid is attached (by aminoacyl-tRNA synthetases). tRNAs cope with the degeneracy of the genetic code in two manners: having more than one tRNA (with a specific anti-codon) for a particular amino acid; and 'wobble' base-pairing, i.e. permitting non-standard base-pairing at the 3rd anti-codon position.
Source: Rfam by way of RNAcentral